UAAAAUACAAGAAAUAUUUUUUAUUCUGAACUGGAAUAAAGUGAUUGAUCACAUCUGUAGACCAGAAAACAGACACAGUCCUAAUGAGAGCAGGUCUAUUCUGGGCUCUGUUUUUGACAGUGCAACACUGAGGUCGUGCUCAGCCUUGAAACAGUUUCUGUACAUGUUUGUUAAGUAUGUCAGAGUUGAGAACCCUGACUCACAUAGGUAUGUGGUGCCAAACUGGACCAGAACAUCUACUGCUUUCUCAGUCAGGCAGGAGACCGCUUCCUGCUGUAGAUGAGCAACCCAGAACUGUGUGUUUGCCCUAAAAAACAUAUUGCUUCAAUCAGUUUAUUCCAGAUAAGAAUAACAUUUACAUUUACAUUUAAGUCAUUUAGCAGACGCUCUUAUCCAGAGCGACUUACAAAUUGGUGCAUUCACCUUAUGACAUCCAGAUAUAACAACAAUUAUUAUUGUAUUUUAACAGCAACAGUUCCAAUCUAGACUCGUUUUCAACAAUUUCUACAGUAAGAUGUACAGUAGGCCUGGUCAUUUUUCAUCUGUACUGUUACUAGAGUUACACUAUCAGUAGCUAGCUUGCUUUGGCGAAUGUUAGCUAUUAUCUGUGUACAAGGCCAGGGGAUUGUUUGAAAGAGAAACUCACAUCCACUACUAUGAGAGUUAGUUAGUACUCCCUUACUGCUUAUCGCCUGUGAUGGGGAGAGCAGUGCAGUGUCUAAUAAUGAGCCUGAUGUGGAGUACACUGAAGUGGUACAUUGUCAACCUGUGGACCCUGCCAGAGGUGACUACACACACACACACACACACACACACCAGUUUUUCACUCCGGCUACCUCUCCCUCAUAUUCCCUUUAUCUUGCUCCCCUUUUUUCCCUCCCUCUCAUAGCUCUUUCUCUACCUCUUCCCUCUCUCAUUCUGUCCCUGAACUCAUAGCGAAUCAUCACAAAAGAGUUUGCUUUGCCGUCAUUAUUUCAGCUUAUAAGACUCAGCGCCAUUUCCUGGGGGGGGUUCUAAUUGGCCACAAUUAAGCCGUCUCCACAGUAACCUGUGUGAUAACCAUGGCGAUCAGGCUUCCAGAAACAUCUUCUGGCGAAUAAACAGGAAGGGCUGAACUAAUUGCCAGGCUACUCUCUAAGGUACCAACCCCCCUCGAUUAGUAUACUCUGUUGGCCCCCAUGGGUUUGCUAUGGCAGUUGGUUGAGCUUAUCGUUAAGCAGGGGCGCAACUUUGGUUUUAGAAGUGGGGGGGGACAUAAUAUUUAUUUUAUUAUUAUCCAGUUGGAUAAACACUAAACAGCCUAUGCGACCGCUCGGAGACGUCCACAUGGUCCUAAAGCACACCUUUGCCUCCUUUUGUUUCAGAAUGUGGGGGGUGGGGGGUGGGGGGCAUGCCCCCCCUCCCCAUCCCCAUUGAAGGUUACUCCCCUGUCCUUAAGUAUCCAGUACAAUGAUUUGCCAAGAGAUGGAGCAUCUGCUAAGAGACUAACAAUUCCCCUGAGAAAAGGCACCGAAUCGGUGUGCAGUGAAGUCCAGAACUCCCCAUCCGGUGCACCUAGUGACCAUUAUGACUAUGGUUCAGUGGAGUACGCCUAUCUCAACGGUGACCAAACCGGAGGUCAACCAGGACAUGCUGGAGGUCAAUCACCAGGACCACCAUGACCUGGAGUAAAGGUUACCUCUGAUCCCUCGCGACCCCUCACACUAGGACCACAAACUAAAUUCUCCCCACCUCUGCCCCCGACCUUAACCACAGUCCUUAUUUUCAUAUUGUUCUUGUAUUCUGUACCUUUUCCCUACAAGGAAAAUUGUUGACUCAUGUAAGCUGUAGAUAUUUUGCAUAAUUUUAUAGCCAAGUAAAAUCACAAAUCCUAAUUAGGACUAAUUAGUUCUAUCAUACCUUGUAGACUCUUAUCUUUGUUGACCUUUUCAUCAUGUCUCAUAACCAUAGAGGUUGGUACAGUGUUGAGUUAGCCUGGCCCCUCCCUCGAACGCAGUUCUCUUUGAUCUCCUAAAUGGACAGCAUGACAGUUAUGCUCUGUCAUGAUGGCUAAAAAAAUCCCCCUUUCAGACUUCUGUUGCAGGGCAGUGUGAGUGGGCUGAUAACCUCCCUACUGUCACUAGACUGGGUCCACACCCAAACCAGGGCACACUCCUGUAGGGCCAUCCCUGAAUCACACUAUGGCAAUAACUAUGGGGGGAAAAGAGUGAAUGUAAACAGAGGAUCUGCCUGUCACCAGCUGCUCAGCCUGAUGGUAUAUGGUGUUUGUGAUAUCACAUCCUGACAAGCUGUGUCCAAGUGUGUCGAAAGUUGGAGGGAGAACAGUGUCAGGCCUGAAAUGACUCAGACAUACAGAAUUGUACAUGGUUAUAAAUUACCUUCUUACUGCAGUUACUGUUUUUCUAACACACAAAAUUAUCCAAGUAAAGUCAAGGUAAUGUUAUAAAAAAAUAUUUAAAAAUCGAUCUUUCUAAACUUUGAGUAUCGUAUGUUACGUUAUUACGGUGUGUUAUGUAAUACGUUAUAUUAAUAGAGAAUGGUUACAAUCGUCCUGUAAAUUACAACACCAUUGUAAGGGCUUCCGAAUGGCGCAGCAGUCUAAGGCACUGCAUGUCAGUGCUAGAGGCAUCACUACAGACCCUGGUUCGAUUCCAGGCUGUAUCACAACCGGCUGUGAUUGGGAGUCCAAUAGGGCGGCUCACAAUUGGCCCAGCGUCAUCCGGGUUAGGGUUUGGCUGGGGUAGGACGUCAUUAGAAAUAAGAAUUUGUUCUCAACUGACUUGCCUAGUUAAAUAAAGGUUAAAUAAAAAAGUAACCAAUAUCUAAUAUAGUGGUCUAUGAUUGUUGUAAUAUUCAGCAUGGCCAGUAGAGGGCAGCAUCCUCUUAAAAAUACAGUGACGCGUAUACAAGAAAGUUACUGCUGCCUUAUCCUCCACACACACAUUCGCUGUGGGGAGUUAUUGUUGUGUGGGUUCCGCCAUCUUGUGACUAAAACUAGUAUGUGUCAGAUAGUUUUGAAUCAUAAGAGCGAUAAGAGCACAUAUCUCUAAUUCUCAGUUAGUAGUGCUGAUCUAGGGUGUCCAUGUUAUUUAUUAUGAUUUAAAAAAGCUAUAACUGAUCCUAGAUCAGACAUCACUCCUACUCUGAGACGCGUUUCAAAUACAUAACCCUGAUUCUGUUUUUGUUUAUUUUGGAGAGGAGAAUCCUAUUUGGUUGUUUUUGUGAAACUAUAAUAAAUGUAGGCCUAUGCCAUCUUAAACUUAGAGCACUUGUAGAGUAACUAACUGUCUUCUUAGAAACAGAUAAACAAAAUUUUCACACCUUAAAAACGCGUUCAUACAACUGUGACGUCUUCGUAGCCCUCCCUCCACUGAGUGUUGCAUCCUCGAGUAUGGUGCAUAAUGUCUAUCCUGCGUUGUUUACGAACAUGUCAGCUAACACCGAGACAUACCCUCGUAAUCAUCUCUCGUUGUCUCGACAACAGAACAUGCCGUCAAUUAUCUAUCUAAAUGGUCAUUUCCUCUCUUUGAUAACCUCGAGGCCAUUGUGGAACUGUAAUGGCAGCAUUGGCAUGACAACCACAAAUAAACUCUCUUCGAUCUAAGGGCCAUUUACAUCAUGUCCCCAGUUCUCUCUCUCUCACACUCUCUCUCACAUAUAUCGUGGUCAGAAGCCUGUUAAAGACUAAUUAAAGGAAAUUACCGGAAUGGCCGUAACAUCGCUUAUAUAUAUAUCGUGGUCAGAAGCCUGUUAAAGACUAAUUAAAGGAAAUUACCGGAAUGGCCGUAACAUCGCUUGAGUGCUUCGAUUGUUGGCCUGUGUUAAUGGAAUCAUGAAGCUGUGCUUUUGGAUGAAUACAUUCGGUUAAUUUGUGCGCACCAUUUUUCACAUCUAGAAUGGGAAGUGGAAUAAUAUGUUUUGCUGGAUCAGACAAGAUGAGAGUAGCCUAUAAUAUGAUAGUAAUAUAACUUAUGUAGCCAAAUAGCAUUGUUUUAUAGCUCAAACACAUAGCAUCAUUGGCCUAAUGAAAUGUCGGGGACCAGGGUAACAGUUAGUGCUCAUACAUCCUUCUAUUUGAAAUAUAAUUCGCAUAUUGACUUACAGAUAAAAUUAAAACAAUAGAUUAACAUCCUGCCAACCUUCACGCCCAAUACUAUUGUUCCUGCCCUGCAGGCACUGUGAGUGUUGCUAAUACGGGCAUGUGGUGAUUGGGUGUGGAGAGAAACCUGUGUAUUUGUUUUGUCUAUCUGUCAUUACAGAGUAGCCGACUUAGUACUUAGUGUGUUUAUAUUAAUGGAAGUAGAUUGGACUGACUGUGAAAACAGCGCGGAAAAUAAUUAACUCGCAUGACAGUAGUUGAGAUGGUGUGGACAAACCAAGUGUGAGCGGAGCAACUGUCUAAUCAGUUCGUCAGCCAAUCGUGUGACAGAUUAGAUGACUGUGAGAAGAGCUGGCACCCUUUAAUGCGAUGUUAGUCAUGACACCUACUAGUAUUUGUACAUAAGCAGAAAAGUUGUGAAUUUGUGUUAUCUGUCUGUGUUUGGAAGGAAAACACAUCUAUGUAAACAACAUUAUGGUGCCAAACAUUUAAGAAUUCUAUUAUCUGAAAGGAAGCACGGGAAUGCAAUUAAACGGCCUAUCGUGCACUGUAACUAAGGUGUGAAUUACACCUCUUAGAUCCAUGCACGUUAUUUCUUUGAAAGGGUGAUGAAAAGUAUUGUCAUCUGGGUUCAAAAUAAAAUUCUGGGCAAUAGCAAAGAAUACAAGAACUUAACAUAGGCUGAAACCUGUCUGAAAGAAGUGCCUUGUCUGCUCUUGCCCAUAGGGCAGAGAAAGAAUACCAGUUUGUCACUGGUAUGCUGGCAGUUAGACCAGAUAAGGACGUGCAAACAAUCUAUUGGCCUUUAUGCAGCUCAGCUGUUAAAAUGGACUUUGUGUAAGCUUUAUUUGCCCUAAGCCAUCUUUAUUAAAUAUAUGCUGAAAAUGCACAGUUUAUGACUGACUCGGUUGUAGAGUAUUUUUACAUUUACAUUUAAGUCAUUUAGCAGACGCUCUUAUCCAGAGCGACUUACAAAUUGGUGCAUUCACCUUAUGAUAUCCAGUGGAACAACCACUUUACAAUAGUGCAUCUAAAUCUUUUAAAGGGG
Long non-coding RNA from Salvelinus fontinalis (brook trout), 5147 nucleotides. RefSeq lists it as uncharacterized. Lineage: Eukaryota; Metazoa; Chordata; Actinopteri; Salmoniformes; Salmonidae. The transcript has 4 exons. The record is from RefSeq and is a predicted model, not a curated record.